GACACCCUACGGGGGGCAGCAGUGGGGAAUUUUGCGCAAUGCUCGUAAGAGUGACGCAGCGACGCCGCGUGAAUGACGAAGGCCUUCGGGUCGUAAAGUUCUUUCGACAGGGAAGAAAAUGCCUAUAAGUAACUGUGCAUGUAUUGACGGUACCUGUAUAAGCAGCCCCGGCUAACUCCGUGCCAGCAGCCGCGGUAAUACGGAGGGGGCGAGCGUUGUUCGGAGUGACUGGGCGUAAAGAGCACGUAGGCGGUGUUGUAAGUCAUUAGUCAACGACUAGAGCUCAACUUGAGUCAAGCUCGUGA
Molecule: ribosomal RNA, 305 nt
Filed under: uncultured bacterium
Lineage: Bacteria
Description: bacterial SSU rRNA
Rfam family: Bacterial small subunit ribosomal RNA
Source: RNAcentral